CGGGAAAAGCUCAAAUUUAAAAUCUGGCGGUCUCUGGCCGUCCGAGUUGUAAUUUGGAGAGGAUGCUUCGGGUGUGGUCCCGGUCUAAGUUCCUUGGAACAGGACGUCACAGAGGGUGAGAAUCCCGUACGUGCCCGGUGGCCGCCCCCGUGUGAAGCUCCUUCGAC
This 167-nucleotide ribosomal RNA is filed under the name Myxotrichaceae sp. Its description in RNAcentral is "partial large subunit ribosomal RNA". It matches the Rfam family "Eukaryotic large subunit ribosomal RNA", at positions 99 to 261 of the family's 3401-position model. The record is from RNAcentral. Lineage: Eukaryota; Fungi; Ascomycota; Leotiomycetes; Myxotrichaceae.